This 56-nucleotide microRNA precursor is filed under the name Salmo salar (Atlantic salmon). Its description in RNAcentral is "microRNA ssa-mir-8156 precursor". The record is from miRBase by way of RNAcentral. Lineage: Eukaryota; Metazoa; Chordata; Actinopteri; Salmoniformes; Salmonidae.
GUCCUGACUGUCCUGACUGUCUUUACCGUACUGGCUGUCAUGACCGUCCUGACUGU